GACGAACGCUGGCGGCGUGCCUAAUACAUGCAAGUCGAACGCACAGUUUAUACCGUAGCUUGCUACACCAUAGACUGUGAGUUGCGAACGGGGGAGUAACGCGUAGGUAACCUGCCUGGUAGCGGGUGAUAACUAUUGGAAACGAUAGCUAAUACCGCAUAAUAUUUAUUAUUGCAUGGUAAUUUAUUGAAAGAUGCAACUGCAUCACUACCAGAUGGACCUUCGUUGUAUUAGCUAGUAGGUGAGGUAACGGCUCACCUAGGCGACGAUACAUAGCCGAACGGCGAGGGUGAGCGGCCGCACUGGGACGGGGACACGGCCCAGAGUCCUACGGGAGGCAGCAGUAGGGAAUCGUCGGCAAGGGGCGAAAGACUGACCGAGCAACGCCGCGGGAGUGAAGAAGGUUUUCGGGUCGGAAAGGUCUGUUGUAAGGGAAUAACGGGUGUGAGAGUGGAAAGUUCACAGUGUGACGGUAUCUUACCAGAAAGGGACGGCUAACUACGUG
Molecule: ribosomal RNA, 505 nt
Filed under: uncultured bacterium
Lineage: Bacteria
Description: partial 16S ribosomal RNA
Rfam family: Bacterial small subunit ribosomal RNA
Source: RNAcentral